Molecule: RNA transcript, 1805 nt
Organism: Musa acuminata subsp. malaccensis (wild Malaysian banana)
Lineage: Eukaryota; Viridiplantae; Streptophyta; Magnoliopsida; Zingiberales; Musaceae
Gene name: F-box protein SKP2A
Source: RefSeq, a predicted model, not a curated record
GGAGUGGCUGCCACCCGCGAAACGGCAACCGUGUUCUGGAUUCGUCCACUCGUGUCGCUACCUGCCGGCCACGCACUGCCUCCACCGACCGCCACGUGUCAGCUGAGGCCACCGGAUCCCCGCCCGUGUCCGCCGUCCCCACGGUCGCCGGUCGAUAUAAACCCCCACGGAACGCUGCAGCCCUCAGGGAGUCUCCGAAGCUCCCCUCGAACUUUGCCCGGUCGAUCGAACCGAUUCCCCACCCAAUCCCUCGAUAAAGGAAAUUUGUUGAUACUGUUGCUAUCUCAUGGUGUCUGGUAGUGGAGAGAAGAUGGAGGUUGAACCAGAACUUGUGAUGUGCUGGAAGGACCUUCCGAUGGAGCUGCUGCUGCGUAUUCUUUCCCUUGUCGACGACCGAAUGGUGAUCGUGUCUUCAACCGUUUGUACUGGCUGGAGAGACGCAAUCGGCUUUGGGCUUACAAGUCUCUCUUUAUCGUGGUGCAAAAACAACAUGAACAACCUUGUGCGGUCACUUGCUCCCAAGUUCACGAAGCUUCAAGUUUUAACUCUUCGACAAAAUAAUGCACCUCAACUUGAGGACAGUGCUGUUGAGGCAGUUGCUAAUUACUGCCAUGACCUGAGGGAACUAGACCUUAGCAAAAGCCUUAGGCUGACUGACCAGUCUUUGUAUGCUCUAGGCCAUGGAUGUCCCCGCCUAAAUAAACUGAAUAUCAGUGGAUGCUCUGCUUUUACCGACUCUGCCCUUGCAUAUCUUGCUAGUUGCUGUCGAAACCUGAAAACCUUGAAUCUCUGUGGAUGUGCGAGAGCUGCUACUGACAGAGCUUUACAAGCUGUAUCACGUCAUUGCAGUGAGCUUCAGUCUUUGAAUCUAGGUUGGUGUGAGAGUGUCAGUGACAAAGGAGUCACCAGUUUGGCAGCUGGUUGCCCAAAUCUCAGGGCAUUGGACUUGUGUGGCUGUGUCCUCAUAACAGAUGAGAGUGUGAUUGCCAUAGCAAAUUGCUGCCCUCAUCUCAGAUCACUGGACUUGUAUUAUUGUCAGAACAUCACAGACAGGGCAAUGUACUCGCUCGCAAAUAGCUGCAUGAAAAGCCGGUACGGGUUGUGGCGAGACGAUGCUGGCAGCAGUAACGGCAAUGACAACACUGGGCUGGUGAACCUUAACAUCAGCCAGUGCACAGCACUGACGGCUGCCGCCGUCCAAGCCGUGUGCGAUACAUUCCCAUUGCUGCACACCUGCCCAGGGAGGCAUUCACUCAUCAUCAGCGGUUGCCUCAGCCUCACUUCUGUGCGCUGUGCUUGUGCCAUCCAUGCUCACCGUGCAGGCAGAGCUUCUCUAGCAGACCACGCCUACUGAGGACCAUGUCUUAGCAAGAUACUCUGAAAGGAGUGGUGUGUAGUUGAAGGUAUAACAAGGUAGCAACCAAGUCCCAUGAUAAAUUUCUCACAAUCUCAUUGAUAUAUAUUCUCAUCAGAUUUCUUACAAAUUAGAUCCUGAUAGGGGUUUCUAAUGCCAUAGCCUAAUGAACUUUACAUUCUGACAUUGAAGAAUUCCAUCACCCAUAUCAAGAAGAUUAUGGUGUAAGUAGGCUGGUUCUACGCCCUAGCAAUUGGUAAAACAACUUUCCCUGAUCUCAUUUAUAGUACAAUGCAGAAACUUUGUGCUCUACAAUGAGCAGAACUCCAGAGCAAACAAGUUUCUGACGGUCAUCAAGUUUCUUGUCGGGUAAACAUUAAACCAGUCAUACACUAGUAUACAGUAAGGAGGACAUAGAAAUAGCUGCUGAAGUUGGGAAUAUUGUGGAUUA